This 2521-nucleotide unclassified non-coding RNA is filed under the name Leishmania donovani. RNAcentral's name for it is "gene:LdHU3.19.0790(CDS-product:glycosomal_malate_ dehydrogenase)". Lineage: Eukaryota; Euglenozoa; Kinetoplastea; Trypanosomatida; Trypanosomatidae. The record is from RNAcentral.
CCAGUAUUCUGUGUGUACACAACCUUUCUCGGCCGCGGACACCUCCACAAGGUUCUCUUUUCGUGCGCCAUCUCCCCUGUAUCUGAACUCGCUAGUUGCUCUGUUCUCUCUCCCUCUUAAAACGCCAACCUCACCACCAUCACGACCACACCUGUCGACCCCAUAUCAGUCUCCUGUACCCGUAGAGGCCUCACAGGCUGAUCACCUCUUCUCUCGCCCUCGACGAAAAUGGUAAACGUGUGCGUUGUUGGGGCUGCCGGCGGCAUCGGGCAGUCGCUGUCGCUUCUGCUGGUGCGCCAGCUGCCGUACGGGAGCACGUUGUCGUUGUUCGACGUUGUGGGCGCUGCCGGCGUUGCAGCGGACCUGUCGCACGUGGACAACGCCGGUGUGCAGGUGAAGUUCGCGGCGGGCAAGAUAGGCCAGAAGCGCGACCCUGCGCUAGCGGAGCUUGCGAAGGGCGUGGAUGUGUUUGUGAUGGUGGCUGGCGUGCCACGCAAGCCGGGCAUGACGCGCGACGACCUUUUCAAAAUCAACGCCGGAAUCAUCCUGGACCUUGUGCUGACGUGCGCAUCGUCGAGCCCAAAGGCGGUGUUCUGCAUUGUGACGAACCCUGUGAACAGCACGGUCGUGAUCGCGGCAGAGGCGCUGAAGAGCCUCGGCGUAUACGACAGAAACCGGCUGCUUGGCGUGUCGCUGCUAGACGGGCUGCGCGCGACGUGCUUCAUCAACGAGGCGCGCAAGCCUUUGGUCGUGACGCAGGUGCCAGUUGUUGGCGGGCACAGCGACGCAACGAUUGUUCCGUUGUUCCACCAGCUGCUGGGGCCGUUGCCGGAGCAGGCGACGCUGGACAAGAUCGUGAAGCGCGUGCAGGUUGCAGGCACAGAGGUGGUGAAGGCGAAGGCCGGGCGCGGGUCUGCGACGCUGUCGAUGGCGGAGGCUGGCGCGCGGUUCACGCUGAAGGUUGUGGAGGGCCUGACCGGCACGGGUAAACCGCUGGUGUACGCAUACGUGGACACAGACGGGCAGCACGAGACGCCGUUCCUCGCGAUCCCCGUGGUGCUUGGCGUGAAUGGAAUCGAGAAGCGCCUGCCAAUCGGUCCGCUGCACUCGACAGAGGAAACGCUGCUGAAGGCGGCACUGCCGGUGAUCAAGAAGAAUAUCGUGAAGGGCAGCGAGUUCGCGCGCUCACACCUGUAGCACCUCAGCGUUUUCUUUUCUUUUGCUGUAAACGGACAUGGGAAGCAUCUCGAUACUUCGUCGCGCUGGCGGACGUCGCACGACGUCGUUCGUCAUCCCCCUCCCCCUCUUCGGCCCUAUACGCAUGAAGGAGUUGAAUUACGCAACAGCAUGUUGAUAUCAAGUGUGCGACUGGCGAAGGGAAGGGGAGGGGCGUGCGCAAGUAGCCAUCGAGGACAUCAGCAUUGCGGACGGCUCCUCCCCUCCCCCGAGCUCCUACAGCCUUUUUUUUUGUGGGUGUGGGGGGUCUUGUUUUCGCCUACGCGGUGCCGUUGUCGUGGUGCACCGAUCAAAAAAAUAGUUUUUGUGUAUUGAACUAUUUAAGGAGGAAGUGGAAGGAGGGGCUGGACGUGACGGGGUGCAUGGAUACACCCACACACGCACAUUUAUAUAUAUAUAUAUAUCGAUGCAUACGCAGACGCUCUGCCGCGAUUGCUCAGCUUGCUUUCUGCUCCUUCCUCUGUUUUUUUUUCCCGGCUUUUAUAAGCGAGUCGCUCUCUGCCGCGUCUUUGGUGCUUGUAUCUUCCUGCCGCACUGCCCCUCCCUCCCUCCCUCCCUCCCAUCACUUAUCUCCCUCUCUCCCGCAGGGGUGUAAGUUCUGAGCUCAUCUCCGUUAUUGUUGUGUGCUCGUGAUUGGAAAGAAAGAGGACCUGUGCACCGGGGAGGAAGGAUGAGGUGUGUCGUAAAGGAAGUGUGAGUAGGUCAAUCAGCGGGAAAGCAGCACACAUGCGCGCACGCACAUACACGCGCGAAGGCAUCCAUGUGUUUCGACCGCUAACGAAUGCGAUGCAAGAGCAUAAAAACCUUGAUGUAAGACUUGCCCCCCCCCUCCUCCUAUAACCACAUCCAUAUGCUUGCAUGUGUGCAUGACCUGUUGGGCAUGCUCAAAGAGAAUGUGUAGAGGGAGCGCGCUGAAACGCGAGGGUUCAAAUAUGGAGACCUGACGCUACGCGCAUGCGCAGAUGCGACCCUCGGAGUGAACACCAGCACGCAAGCAGCUCCGUGUGCGGCUGCGACUCCUCCGCCUUCUCCAGCGGCGCAUACCUAUGCGUGCGCUCGUGUGAACGUGUAUGUGGGCAUGCAUGAAGACAAGCGAAACGUCGCUUCUAAGCGCAGUCCUUCGAGCAACGUGCGCGGCCACAACCACCGACACACUCACAGAGCAUACAAAGACGCAAAAAAAAACGAAAACACCAAGCAGUGAUGCGCGCGUCCUUACCGCUGGCGCUGUCGUUUACAGCGACCUGAAUGAAAGUAUGGGGUGUGACCUAUUCGGUGACUGGUG